Molecule: long non-coding RNA, 4736 nt
Filed under: Hordeum vulgare
Lineage: Eukaryota; Viridiplantae; Streptophyta; Magnoliopsida; Poales; Poaceae
Description: long non-coding RNA (HVUL_LNC006392)
Rfam family: MIR1120/MIR1122 microRNA precursor family (bases 3462-3597)
Source: RNAcentral
UGGCUAAAAAGAAUAUGGACUCUAAAAUACAGCUCCGGUUUAACAUGAGAUUUUGCACAAUUGAUCAUUCGUAUGAGUAGUAGACAAAAUUAUACACAAACAACAGACUGAACCAGUUACUUUUGAUAUUCCUCCCUAUAAUUCACGAGGAAAGAAGUCUUUGCUCUGGCUGAGCCACGUCAUUCAAUCUUUUGAUCUUCAAAACGUCAACCCUCCAAUCAAGUAUACCAUCGCUGAUUUUAUGAUGAUGUUCUUUUUACCUAGGGUGAUUUUAUCUUAUUUUUGUAACAAUUGGGAACAGGCCCCAUUUUUUCCUGUGCUCUAUGUGGAAACACUCUCGGAGGCAAAUUCUGAUUUUACUUAGCGCUGUAGGGAUUCGAUACUUAGCCUCUAGAUUGCUCCUGUGAGGCCUUAGCCACCACCAGUAAGGGUGCAACCAGUUUACGUGAUGAGUUAGCAAUUAAAAUCAAGAUACUACUUACCCGCAAAAAAAAAAAAUCAAGAUACUACACAUAUGCCGACACGACCGAUAUAUCAGCAUCAGUGGCUAACCAGUACAGAUAUAGCAUUUCAUUUCAUAAAUAUCGUUCUCACACAUAUCGACCAACAUGGCCGGUAUUUGACAAUAUGUCCACCGAUAUAGACUAAUACGUCAAUGCCAAAUAAUUCUUCUUAAAGAAGCAUUAGUAAAAAAAAAUCAAGAACCAAGCAAUGGCCGGUUGGUUAGGGCACAUGCCCAUGAGCCCACCCACCCGCGUUCGAGGCCCAGACUUUGCAGGGUGCGUCACCUCUACCUAACAAAUGUACAGGGGGGGGGGGGUCCCCCUUUAACGAAGGUUUUUUUAAACAAAAAUUAGCAUUUACACCUUCAUGCAACUAUCAAGUUUAUGCCUAACUUCUGUAAAUAAGCAUAUGUAUGAUGUCCUUUCUCAUGUUACCAUAAAGAUUUUGUGAGUCUUUAAUAAUUUAUUUCGCAAUCGACCAGUCAGUAAACUUGGAAUCAUAUGUCUGCCAUGCUCAAGGACCAGCACCAUACAUUUUAUUUGUACUAAAAAUGCAUGAAAUGAGCAAUUGUCGUAACUAAAAUAAGGCAGAUACUUCUCCCUCCAAUGUAAUUACAUACCGUCCGACAUCCGAUACGCGGAAGCUAGACGGAUAUGGACUAGUAGAUGUCUGGUAUUUCGAACCUUGGUUAAAACUAUGUUUGGAUACAAAUUCAACCUCAUCUCUCACUUCUGGACCACCAAACACCAGCAAAGGAUGAACUAGUUCAUCCAGAACAGAACCAAGAUGAUCGGAUGAACUGCAAACAACAGAAAGAAAGAUAGCGCGAGUAACACACAUCAGAUAUUGCUUCGAAACAGACACGGCCUCCAUUAAAAUCAUUCCUUUUUUACAAAUUCAACUUCACAGAAGGUCGUGGAACAGAAAACGGCGGAGGGGGGAGGCGCUCAUUGCCAACUAGUGCUAAGAACAGACCCUUGGUAGUGCUAGAAGAGAAAAGUGUCACUCUCCACCACCAAUUUCCCCUCCGCCACCAAAGGUCCUCAAUUCCUAAAUCCUAAUCGAAGCAGGGCCGCGACCAUAAUACCACACAACAACAGCGGCAGCAAUGCAGGAACUUGGACAAGAAAAAAAAAUCAUUAUUUGCGCAAGAAUCCCCUGGACAAAUCGCACCGACAGACGGCGGCUGGAUCCAUCCAUGGUAAGAACCCCAGAAAAGCAACUGAGGAAGAGAGAUUAUGCAUAACUUCAUCAAAUGAUCAAAAUUAUGCAUAACUUCUGUAAAUAAGCAUGUGUGUGUAUAUAAUGCCCUCCGUUAUGUUACCGUAAGGAUUUUGUGAGUCUGUCUUGAAUAGUUUAUUUCGCGGUCAACCAGACAGCAAACUUGGAAUGAUAUACCCCGUAUUUGCCAUGCGCAAGCACCGUUCGUUCAAUUUGGUGCCGAAAAGGCAUGGUAUAAGUAAGGCUAACCAAAACAAGACAGACAUUUUUCCAUCCCAUAUAACCACACGCAUAUCCGACAUUGGAUGCAUCGAAGCGAGACCGAUAUGGACCCGAAUAUCCGGUACUCCGAACCUGGGUUAACCCUAGGUGUUGGUGCGGAUACAUAUUCGACCUCAGCUCUCAUUUCUGGACCAACAAACACCAGACAGAGGAUGAACUAUCCAUCAUGAACAGACACGAGACGAAUGGAUGAACUGCGAAGAAACAGAAAGAUAACGCGAGCAACAGACAAGCCAGUCUGCACACAUUAAAACCGUUCCUUUUUUGCANNNNNNNNNNNNNNNNNNNNNNNNNNNNNNNNNNNNNNNNNNNNNNNNNNNNNNNNNNNNNNNNNNNNNNNNNNNNNNNNNNNNNNNNNNNNNNNNNNNNUUACAUGGGUACAUAUGACAUCGGAUGGUCCAGGAAUUCGGCUGAUUUUGUUUCCCUUUGCGAGAGGAAACUCUGGUGGAGGGCCCACACCGAGCUGCUUAUUUAUUUUGUUCCUGUUCUAUUAAUACGAUUUUUCAUUCUGUCUGUCUCAAUCUAUCUUUUCGUUUUUUGACAAUUCGUCCCAAUAUUUCAUCUUAUUUUUUAAAUAAUAUGUCCUUGUCUAUCGUUUUUUUAUAACCUAUCUCAAUCUUAUCAAAAUUUGAGAGCGGCGAUUACCACGAUGGGCGCAUCAACGCGUGGAAGGGCUCGAGGAAGCGACGCGUGGAGUGCUUGGAAUUUUUUCCACGGUUUUUUUAUCUGGUGUUUUCUUCUCUUUUGGGUUUUUCUUGAUUUUUUCUCUUAUUGUUUUCAUUUUCCUUCUUUCUGUCUAGUUUUCUUAUGCUGUCACGUGUACAACAUGGAUGUAUGUGUAUAUGUUGCUAUGCGGUGUUGACAUGUUUAUAGGUGGUUGUUAAACUACCUGCGAGUACACUGGCAGUGAAUAGUAAAAGUAUUUUACCACGUGAAGUACAUGUAUGCUAUAGUGGAAGUACAAGCUUAUUAUUGUUCGAAGUACAAGUUACGUCCCAAAAAGAUCGACGAGACCUAUGAACAUGGGAUCUAUUUCUGAAGAUCUCAACAUGAGUAACACAUCGGUGAGAUACUUUGAUUUGAAAUUUGGAUCUUAUGUUUUUUUAUGGGAAGAGAUGGCAUGAUGUGUAAUUUUUUGUUCAAAGUGAAUAUCAAGUGCUACAUAUGUUCCAAACCGUGGAGCACUAAAGUUUACGGUUGUCCCUGGUUUAAACUUGUUCUAAAGAAAUUUUGUGUCGUAGAUGCUGCCAUGCUAGUAUUCUCUUUUACAAACAUGGUUAUAUUUAGAAGAAUCUUAACUGAUGGCACAACUAUCUAUGUAAGUGCGUUCUUAUUCUGAACCGAUGUGAGUAGUAUGGAUAGAUAUACAAUUUCUCUGGCCCGUGCUAGACAAGAAUGAAGAACAAAAUAACAACCACCCUAUCAAUCUCAUCUUUUUAUCUGGGCAUAAUAAAGAAGUACUCCCUCCGUCCCAUAAUUCUUGUCUUAUAUUUGUCUAAAGAUGAAUGUAUCUAGUCACAUUUUAGUAUUUAGAUACAUAUAUUUUUAGACAAAUCUAAGACAAGAAUUUUGGGACGGAGGGAGUAAUAAAUAUCCCCUGCAAAAAAAAGAGUAAAUAUGGACCGACUGUUUGUUUGACUUUGACAUGUGGACUUAUAAGUAUGCUUUGUCAAUUCAAGUCCAUAUAAUCAACUGUCGAGUAGAACAAAAUUAUGUUUUCUCCUUCACCAGUCACCGAAAGGAGACAACAACCAUGACAGGGCACAUUCUAUGCAACUGGAUGCUUGAAAAGAACAGAAAAGAUAUCGGCGACGACGGCGGUGGCGCUGUUCCGGCCUUGUGAUCCAUCUUCAGCUUUGGCGGGGACGAUGGCNNNNNNNNNNNNNNNNNNNNNNNNNNNNNNNNNNNNNNNNNNNNNNNNNNNNNNNNNNNNNNNNNNNNNNNNNNNNNNNNNNNNNNNNNNNNNNNNNNNNCUCCGGUUUAACAUGAGAUUUUUGCACAAUUGAUCAUUGUAUGAGUAGUAGACAAAAUUAUACACAAACAACAGACUGAACCAGUUACUUUUGAUAUUCCUCCCUAUAAUUCACGAGGAAAGAAGUCUUUGCUCUGGCUGAGCCACGUCAUUCAAUCUUUUGAUCUUCAAAACGUCAACCCUCCAAUCAAGUAUACCAUCGCUGAUUUUAUGAUGAUGUUCUUUUUACCUAGGGUGAUUUUAUCUUAUUUUUGUAACAAUUGGGAACAGGCCCCAUUUUUUCCUGUGCUCUAUGUGGAAACACUCUCGGAGGCAAAUUCUGAUUUUACUUAGCGCUGUAGGGAUUCGAUACUUAGCCUCUAGAUUGCUCCUGUGAGGCCUUAGCCACCACCAGUAAGGGUGCAACCAGUUUACGUGAUGAGUUAGCAAUUAAAAUCAAGAUACUACUUACCCGCAAAAAAAAAAUCAAGAUACUACACAUAUGCCGACACGACCGAUAUAUCAGCAUCAGUGGCUAACCAGUACAGAUAUAGCAUUUCAUUUCAUAAAUAUCGUUCUCACACAUAUCGACCAACAUGGCCGGUAUUUGACAAUAUGUCCACCGAUAUAGACUAAUACGUCAAUGCCAAAUAAUUCUUCUUAAAGAAGCAUUAGUAAAAAAAAAUCAAGAACCAAGCAAUGGCCGGUUGGUUAGGGCACAUGCCCAUGAGCCCACCCACCCGCGUUCGAGGCCCAGACUUUGCAGGGUGCGUCACCU